GACGUAGGGUCCAAGCGUUGUCCGGAAUCACUGGGCGUAAAGGGCGCGUAGGCGGACAAGUAAGUCGGGCGUGAAAUCCCUAGGCUCAACCUAGGAACUGCACUCGAAACUGCAUGUCUUGAGUACCGGAGAGGAAAGCGGAAUACCUGGUGUAGAGGUGAAAUUCGUAGAUAUCAGGUGGAACACCAGUGGCGAAGGCGGCUUUCUGGACGGUAACUGACGCUGAGGCGCGAAAGCGUGGGGAGCAAACAGG
Molecule: ribosomal RNA, 253 nt
Filed under: uncultured bacterium
Lineage: Bacteria
Description: partial 16S ribosomal RNA
Rfam family: Bacterial small subunit ribosomal RNA
Source: RNAcentral